RNAcentral lists this ribosomal RNA (253 nucleotides) under uncultured bacterium. RNAcentral describes it as "partial 16S ribosomal RNA". It matches the Rfam family "Bacterial small subunit ribosomal RNA", at positions 524 to 776 of the family's 1533-position model. The record is from RNAcentral.
UACGUAGGGUGCGAGCGUUAAUCGAAAUUACUGGGCGUAAAGCGUGCGCAGGCGGUUUUUUAAGACAGGCGUGAAAUCCCCGGGCUUAACCUGGGAACUGCGCUUGUGACUGGAAGGCUAGAGUACGGCAGAGGGGGGUGGAAUUCCACGUGUAGCAGUGAAAUGCGUAGAGAUGUGGAGGAACACCGGUGGCGAAGGCGGCAUCCUGGACCAACACUGACGCUGAGGAGCGAAAGCCAGGGGAGCAAACGGG